RNAcentral lists this ribosomal RNA (504 nucleotides) under Triticum aestivum (bread wheat). RNAcentral's name for it is "partial small subunit ribosomal RNA". Lineage: Eukaryota; Viridiplantae; Streptophyta; Magnoliopsida; Poales; Poaceae. The record is from RNAcentral.
AUGGGGUUUGAAAAAUGCCCAUUACAUGCUGCACACAAGAAGUUCAGUGGGAAUUCAACUCUGCUGGUUGGGGUGUAUGUGGAUAACCUCAUAUGUACAGGAGGCAGCAGCAAGGAGAUUGCCAAGAUUAAAGAGCAGAUGAAGAAGAAAUUCUGCAUGAGUGACUUGCGCCUGCUAAGCUAUUAUCUCGGGAUCGAGGUAAAACAAACUCAAAUUGCUAUCACCAUUAGCCAGUCAUCUUAUGCAGCUCGGAUUCUGGAGAGGUGCGGUAUGGCAGGUUGUUAUUCAACCAAAGUUCACAAGGAGCCAAGGCAGAAAUUGAGCAAGCAUAGCAAGAAUCCUUCUGUUGAUGCGACAAUGUAUCGUAGCAUUGUUGGUAGCUUGUACUACCUAGUCCAUUCUCGCCCUGAUAUAGCAUACGUAGUUUGGCAUUGUGAGUCGAUUCAUGGAGUCGCCCACAACAGAGUAUAUGGCUUCUGUCAAACAGAUCUUGAGGUAUGUUGA